CAGCAUGACCUUGUUUAACAAUGGCGCUGUACAGUGAUGUCAGCGGAGAGCAUCAGUAUGAAGUGGUGGUUUCUGCAAGCAUCUCAGUUCUGCAGAAGGCAUGAUGCUGUUUCAGAGUACAGUUCAUUCUUGCGUGGUCCCUUGACAGCAUCAAUGCUGCUCCUGCAUCUUCCAUCACAAUUUGGCACCUAACUUGGUUGACCAGCCCAAGGAGUCGCACAGCCAUGCUUGACGGACAAGUCUUCAUCGGUUGGCUAGGUGGCCUCUCCCCUGCCCUGCAGUUUAGACUAAGAAACCUGGCAUUCUCCGCACUCUUCUGGGCUGUUGAACACAAUGUAUCCUGCUUUGUGGUGGAAGAAUUUCUGACUCUCCAGUCCACUUACUGUAUUCAGAAACUGGAAAUCUGGUCGCCAUCAAGGGAAAGUGCCCAAAACAAUUCAUUCUGUCUCAAUAUUGCCAUUGUUACCUAGAAGGAAAAGGCUACAAAAGCAGUAUAUUCUUCCUCAAACAGAAGAAAAACUUAGUGGGCGGUUGUUGCAAUGAUAAAGUGUUCAUGGUCUGCCAAGGAAUUACAUUGAGCCAUUUUUAGCCAAAGGACAGAUACUAAAAUACUGGUUUUGAAAGAGGAAUGGAGACUCUGUGCAAAAGAGUUUCUGUGGAAUAAAUAUUUCCUCCAAAAAAAAAAAAAAAAAAAAAAAAAGGAUUAGGGCUAUUUUUCUUCUAUCUUGUGUUUUUGAAAUACACCAGAUGGACUUUCUUUUCUGAGUUUUAAAAAUCACGUGUUAAUAAAAGGUGUAUUUAUGCUUGUGCUUGAAAGUUCUCUAGAAUUGAAUGAAAUACCUAAGUACAAAGCUGGAAUAUGUUCUACUUUCUGCUUUUCCCAUCACCCAGUUGUACAGUUUUCUUCAGAGCAGUAAGAGACUUGUGUGUUACUUCUGUGAAAUUUGGGGAUGAAUUAGAUGCAGCAUUUAUGAAUCAUGACACUGGCUCAAAACAGCUAAUAGCAAUUGCCUUUUUAGAAAUACAGGGAGAGGUGCAGUCUUGCUGGGUCGUAGUCAAUAAAACAAUACUUAAAUCUUCAACCUUCCAAACAUGAAACAAAAUAAUCAGCAUUUCAUAUCAGUUACCAGAAAAUGCCUAAUAGCCAAUCUCAGAAUGACAAAUACAAUAACAAAAAAAAAAUCCAUGCUAAGUAAUUGCUAUUUGCUAACAAUGCUUCUAAAGCAGAAAACUGACUGCCACUUGAGAUUCUCCAGAAGACUGCAGUGAAAGCAGUGGUAGGGGUUUGGCUCUGCAUCAGUCCACUGUGAAAAAAGUAACAGAUAAUUGGAGAUAGAGAUUUUACACUGUAGAAUACAAGAAGCUGGAAUAAAAGAAUAUUUGUACACAG
Rhea pennata is the source of this 1390-nucleotide long non-coding RNA. RefSeq lists it as uncharacterized. The transcript is spliced from 4 exons. The record is from RefSeq and is a predicted model, not a curated record. NCBI's taxonomy places the organism in Eukaryota, Metazoa, Chordata, Aves, Rheiformes, Rheidae.